This 468-nucleotide ribosomal RNA is filed under the name uncultured bacterium. RNAcentral's name for it is "partial 16S ribosomal RNA". It matches the Rfam family "Bacterial small subunit ribosomal RNA", at positions 28 to 507 of the family's 1533-position model. The record is from RNAcentral.
GACGAACGCUGGCGGCGUGCUUAACACAUGCAAGUCGAACGGAAAGGCCCUGCUUUUGUGGGGUGCUCGAGUGGCGAACGGGUGAGUAACACGUGAGUAACCUGCCCUUGAUUUUGGGAUAACUUCAGGAAACUGGGGCUAAUACCGGACAGGAGCUCCUGCUGCUUGGUGGGGGUUGGAAAGUUUCGGCGGUUGGGGAUGGACUCGCGGCUUAUCAGCUUGUUGGUGGGGUAGUGGCUUACCAAGGCUUUGACGGGUAGCCGGCCUGAGAGGGUGACCGGCCACAUUGGGACUGAGAUACGGCCCAGACUCCUACGGGAGGCAGCAGUGGGGAAUAUUGCACAAUGGGCGGAAGCCUGAUGCAGCAACGCCGCGUGCGGGAUGACGGCCUUCGGGUUGUAAACCGCUUUCGCCUGGGACGAAGCGUGAGUGACGGUAAUGGGUAAAGAAGCACCGGCUAACUACGUG